ACGUGCAUCCUACAACAUCUAAUUUACUUUUAAAAUUGAAAUGGUUGAUGUGUGGGAUUAAAUUAUUCUAUCAACUUCAAAAUUGCCCCAAUUCAAUGAUGCCACUUGUUUUUCUUAUAAAUAACACAACACAUGGAAUGCAUGUUGCACAAUUGGUGAGAAGUAAGACUAAAAUCAUAUCAAAGAUCGAUCUGCGCCAGCAAAUACAUGCGCUACGGCUACAUGCAUCAAGAAGUGAACAAUUAUAUCUUGGGUGAAGGGCAUCUCAAAUUCGUUAGAAGUAGAACGGGCCCUAAAAACAUAUUUGGGCCGUGAGGAUCAUGGCAGCCCAGCAAAGAAUUGCUUGCUGCUGUCCGGAAAAAGAAAGGCUCAGGCCAGGCUGCACGGGGCAGCCCAUGCAAGUAAGAAAGCUGCAAUUGCAUCAUGGAAGUGGGCCAAGGGGAAGAGGGGGCCCAGCAACACAGAAGGCUGUUGGAGGCGGGCCAAUGGUUUGUGGGCCGAGGCUCCGGAUAAGCCCAGCAUAUGCUGGCUUUGGUUUUGCGCUAGAAGCCCAGCGACGUUGGCAUCUUGGGAUGAGAUGCGGGCAUGAAGCCCAGCAUGAAAGACUCAGGCAAUGUCCAAUACAAGAGCAGCAAGCCCAAACAGAGGCUGCUGAUGCAGGACAGAAGUCGUCAGUGUCACUGGCUCAAUCGCAAUUUUCCCCAAAAUUUUGUAUUUUGUUUUUUUUUUUUUUCAAAUUCUAGGGUUUGGAGAAAGAGAAAUUUAACGAAAAGCUCUCGUUACUGUUCACUUUAACGAAAAACUACAUUUUUACACUAAAAAGUCAAUCCUGGUAUUAUUCGCUUUACCCUUUAUUUUGUUAUUAUCGUUAAAACUCAAAGUUUACAAUCCAUUUUCAUUAAUUUUCUUUUGAAAAAACCCAAAAGUGCUUCUAUUUUCUUUCGAUUCUUUGACUCACAAGUUCCACAUAGCGAUUUAUAAUUGCGUAUUGCAUGAACAAGUAUAUAUAUUGACAAAAUAUAUGAACAUCUAUACAAUAUAUACAUAUAUAUAUAUAUAAUAUAUAAAUGUAGGGGGUUCAUGCAUCAUGGAAAAUAUUUUCAUGCUUCAAAAGCGUUUCAAAUAUCUUACUUUAUUUAAACGUACCUGAUUGGCAAAAGACAACAAAAACCCUUGAAUUUGUAGAAUAUCCAUCUCAGAAAGCCGGAAUUGCAUCUCCAAUGCGUUGUAUGACGUCCAACACAGAAAAAUUAAAAGGAAAAUUAAUGAAAAGGACUUGAAAACUUUGAGUUUUAACGAUAGUGACAAAAUAAAGGGUAAAGUAAAUAGUACCAUGAUUGACUUUUUAGUAUAAAAAUGUGGUUUUUCAUUAAACUGAACAGUACUGUGGGCUUUUCGUUAAAACUUCCAAAAUUAAAUUGAAUCAAUAGCAUGUAGAUUAAUUUAAUAAAAGAAUUAAUCAUAAAAAAUUAAUGAUUAAAAUGUAAUACUCCCUGAUGGAAAAAUAAACUAUCUUUAGCACAACAUCAAGAGCGUGUUGAUAACAUGUUGUAGGCAUAAUUUACUGAACAAUCAUGGAGGCCAUAGAGAGAGGGAGAGAGUGCAGCAUAGAGAGAGAAGAAAGAUGUGUAAUUGUGAUAUGUGUUCUAUUUCACCGCAUUGUACCUUUAUUUAUAGUAGUAGGAAAUGUUAAUUUCUUACCCUUUUAGAAUUACAACUCUUAAUAGGUAAUCAACUUCUAAUAUGAAUAUAAGAGAUAUUUCAAGAUAUACUAGGAUUUACAUAAUCACAUUCAUAAUCCAAUAAAACUGCAACACAUGUAACAAUUUCCUAUUAUUAAUAUCCCAUCCAAAACCAUGUGGGACCCCAUCAUGUGUGCCUCGACAAGAUUUUUCCUUUUUUAAUUCUAUUAUUAUAUUCUUGAGCCAUUCAACUAAGAGAUUUUUCAAAGUAUUUGAACACGGAAUAGUAUACAAAGUGUCAUUAUACGAGUUGUGAGAUAGUGCUAAAAAAUUCACAACUUAAAAAAUAAAAACUCCGUCUCCUUACAUAAUAAUACGUACUGUAUUAUCCGUAUUUCAGACACAAUGAAAAUAUUUUUCCAUUCAACCAUGUCUUUUAUCUUCUAGAGAUGUGAAUGAGUUGUGACUUUCAGCCAUUCAACAAAAUCUGUCACUUCAGAAAGCUCAAAAUUUGAAAAUUCUUCUAAUUGAAAAAUUGAGUAGUCUUAUUCAAAAGUUGAGCGAUCCCAACUUGUGGUCGUCAAUUAGUUCACAACCAACAUGUGUCAAAAAUAACAGAAAUCCUAUAUAGACUAUUUCAAAGUAGAACUCGCUAUAAAUUUUUCGCCAUUUUAUGUUUUUGACAUAAUUUUAGUGCUAACAUUAUAAAAUGUUAUACCAAAAAAAAAAGGUGACGGAGUGUUUCACUUUGAAAGAAUCCAACUUUAAAAAAGUCUACUUAGCAUUUAUCUAAAAAUAAUAACAAAUUUAUAUCUUAAUGAAGAUCACAAAUUAAAACUAGUCAAUGAGCAAAGAUCACGAGUUAAAGACUAGUUCUGCCAUAAAUGCAAAGGAGAUUUUCUCAAAAGUAAGACUUUUUAUAAACUAUCUGUCAUCUUAUUUUUGUGGCACAAUUCUAGUGCUAACAUUAUAAAAUAAUGUGUCAAAAACAUGAAGUAACAGAGUACAUAAAGUUUUACUUUGAGAUGGUUUAUUUAGUAUUUCUCCUAGUUAUGAUUACUCGUCAACCUACUCGACUUAGGUCUCCAUUAUUAUAAGAAAAAAGUCAUAAAAAUAAUAAUUUUAUUUCAAAACACAUACAUUUUUGUCUUUAUUUGUACUUGAACUUUUUCGUCUAAUAAUAAAUUCUUUCUUUAAAAUUAAAAUGUUUUUGUCACUUAAUAUUACGGUUUAGUGAUAUUCAUUUUCACUUAUAAGUAAGAAGUAUUAGGUUCGAUUCUCACCAUAAGUGAAUUUGAACCAUAUUAUUGCUAGUCCAUUAUUAAGCUAAAUCUACCCGCUCUCUUUAGUGUAGAUAAUAUCGUUAGUCCAAAAAAAAAAAAAACUAAAGUGGUCUUAGUACAUACGAUCAACUAUGCAAAUUCUCUUGUGUAAUGAUAAGUAGUACGUUCACUUUCCAAUAUCAAAGCUUCAUACUUUUGAUUACAACCUGGGUUGCAAAGGCUCUUAAUUAAUUGAGCUAACACUAAAUGGUUUGCUAAUUCGCUAAGUAUAGAAGCUCUAUGUAACAAAGCAAGUGGAGAAAGAAAAAAUACAGUAAUUUUAAGUGAUUCAAAUUCAGUCCAAUCAUUACGUAUUUGAUUGUCAGGAUCAAGCUGUCAAUUUUCCACUUGACAUGGUUUAAGUUGUAAGGAAUUACAGCAGGGACGAGAGGUUGAAUAAUUCAAAGUUCUGUUUUUCAGGCUCGAGAUGCAAUAUGGAUUGGUGGUUCUGCUACCACUAGGUCUUCAGACCUCUACAAAAUUAGUCUUAGUUCUUGUUAAGGGGGGUCAAUUCUUGCUUUUCUAUACAUGGAAUAUUCAUACAAAAAGUCUAGGAAGAUGUGAACAUUUAGAUUAAGGUGACGUAUUUUAAUUGGACAGACAAUUAAGGUGCACUAAAUUGUUGUUUAUGAUACACGAUUUAUUAUUUGUUUAACCAUUACUAGUUCUAUUCCAUAAUUGGUAUUCGUAAAUGUUUCUUUUAUGCAUAUGAAUCCAAAGAUCUCUUGCUAAAUGCUCUCUAACUACGUUUAGAAGAACAUAAAUUUUUUCAUGUCAUAAAACUGUUUUAUAGACAAACGCAGGUUAGAUGACCCUUUUAAAUGCAGUUUCAAUUAAUUUUUCAGCAAGUACAUGAAAUUUUAAUAAAAAAAAUUUACUACAUUCUUUUUUCUUUUUCUUUUUCUUUUUUGAAAAAAAUUUACUACAUUCUUAUGUUUAUAACAAAAACAAUUGUAACAUACACUAUGCUUAUUAACUAAAGUGCAUUCUACGAAUGCAUGCCCUUUACGAUAACAGAUCUAAGCAUAACAUUCCCCAUAAUUACUAACCACGGCCACAUCAUAAUUAUAAACCAAGUUCUUUAACUACAUUAAUAUAUUAGAAAUGUUAUUAACACUAUAAAAAAUUCAUUUAUUAACACUAUAAAAAUUUCAUACUACACUCUUCACAAUUAUAUUAUUUUCAAUUAUAAAAAAUUUAGAGUGCAAAUUAGAUUUUUAAAAUGCAUAUAACAAUUGCCUACUAUUAAUAUCCAAUCGAAAACCAUGUGGGACCCCAUCAUGUGUGCCUCGACAAGAUUUUUCGUUUUUUUAAUUCUAUUAUUGUAUUUAGAGCCAUUCAGCCAAGAGAUUUUUCAAAUUAUUUGAAGAUGGAGUAGUAUAUCAAGUAUUAUUAUAUGAGUAGUAAGAUAAUAUUAAAAAAUUCACAACUUAAAAAAUAAAAACUCCGUCUCCUUACAUAAUAAUACGUACUGUAUUUUUCGUAUUUCAGACACAAUGAAAAUAUUUUUCUUUUCAAUCAUGUCUUUAUCUUCAAGAGAUGUGACUGAGUUGUGACUUUCAGUCAUUCAACAUCUGUCUCUUCAGAAAGGUAAAAAAUUGAAAAUUCUUCUAAUUGAAAAUUUGUGUAGUCUUAUUCAAAAGUUGAGCCAUCCCAAUUUGUGGUCGUCAAUUAGUUCACAACCAACAUGUGUUAAAAAUAACAGAAAUUCUAGAGAGACUUUUUGGAAGUAGAACCCUUUAUAAAUUUUUUGUCAUUUUAUAUUUUUACACAAUUUUGAUGCUAAUAUUAUAAAAUAUUAUGUCAAAAAAUAAGAUAGAGAAAAGUUUCACUUUGAGAGAGUCCAACUUUAAAAAAGUCUACUUAGCAUUUUUCUAAAAAUAAUAUAAAUUUAUAUAAAGACUAGUUAUGUCAUAAAUGUUAAGGAGACUCUCUCAAAAGUGAGAUUAUUUAUCGACUCUCUGUCAUCUCUAUUUUGUGGCACAAUUCUCGUAUCAACAUUAUAAAAUAAUGUGUCAAAAUUAUAAAGUGACAAAAUCUAUAAAGAGUUUUACUUUAAAAUAAUCUCUUUAGCAUUUUUCCUGGUUCAAAUUGCUCGUCAACCUCUACUCGACUUAUGUCUCCAUUAUUGUAAGAAAAAAGUCAUAAAAAUAAUAAUUUUAAUUCAAAAUGUGUACUUUUGUGUCUUUAUUUCUACUUGAACAUUUUCGUCUACUAAUAUAUUCUUUCUUUAAAACUAAAGUGGUUUUGUCAAUUAGUACUAUGGUAUAGUAGUAUUAAUCUUCACUUAUAAGUAGAAUAUCCUAGGUUUAAUUCUCACUAUAGACGAAUUUGAACCAUGUUAUUGCUAGCUCAUUAUGAGGGUGAGUCCACCCCCUCUCUUUAGUGUAGAUAAUAUCGUUAGUCCAAAAAAAAUAACUAAUGUGGUCUAAGUUUGAGUAAACAAAUCAUAAAAGGUGGGGAAAAAGUGUACUUAGAGCUUCUCACACACUCUUCUUUCUUUUUAGUCAUUAGAUUGAAUAAGUCAAACAAAAUCAACGGCUAAAAUUAAAAAAAGAGUGUAUACGAGACUAAAAAUAACGUGUGUUAAUUAUUUUUUAUAAAAAAAAACACAAGGGUCUGUGUUGGGAAAUUGAAAUAUGGCCAUUUUAAAGAGCACUUAUUUAGAUAUCAAAAAUGCAAAUCUUAUUACAUUUUUCAUGUCAUAUUUGUAUUAUCUUUCUAAUAUAUAUAUGAUCCACAUGUGUUGAUAGACCUUACCACUACUAAAAAUGUGAUACAAACGUAGUACAAAAAAUUUGAUAAGUAUAACAUUACUCAUGAUCAUAAAGAUAAUAACAAUAACAAUUCAAAAGACAAAAGAAAAACAAAGGCAAAACGAGGCUGAAAGUUCCAAGGGAAGCAAUCAUGGUGCCUUUGGUGAAAGCUUCUAGAGUGAGGAAAGGUUCAUAGCCGCAAGCGACCGGCUUUCAAAAUAGCGUAUUUGGACGGAUGUUUUUCGAUAAACUAUCUUACUUAAAUGAAGAAAGAGAGAACUCUUCUUUAUGUACAAAAUUUUCAGUCCAAUCCUUUUCUUUGUACCAGAAGAGUGUGCAAGGAAGAAAUCAAAGCCGCCCGUUCGUUGUCCCUUAUGUAUGAUGGCCCAACAGAAACAUGGCAUGUAUAUGUAUGUAUAUAUGUGCUGUUUUGAAAAACAGGGCAUGAAUAGCUGAUUUUUCAAUACAGAGUCCAUAUCAUGCAUCCCAGAAUCCCAUGCUACAUAUAUUUCUACAUGUACGUAUGUAAGUUAUAUAUACCCAUGCAUGCAUAGCCUUCAGGCGGAUAAAUUAUUAUGUGAUACUGUAGCACUGCCAGCUAGCAGCGUCGAGUGUUGUUACCGAUCCACUAGAAAUUCGACACGUGUACAACUAAAAUACAUCAACUUCUGCCGUUAAUGCCCAAUUACAAUUACAAACCACCCUGCCUGGUUCAAGCAACUCCAUGCGAUUACAAAUAAGGACGAGAGAGUGAAUUAGGGUUUAUGGUUGAAUUGGUUGCGCACUAGUACUGCUUGGUAUUGAAAAGGAUCAAGAACGAUGAAUUAGUUUCUCAACGAAGGCUGUUUGUUUAAGCAGGAAACUAGAUCGAUAAAAGUUGUGGAGCCCCAAAGGUUCUGAUACCAAACCAAGACAAAAAGAACAAAAAGAUAGGAAUUUCGUGAAUUUUAUCAGCGGAUAAUUACACAGACAGCACCUUUUAAUACAACAAACACGCUGCACCCAGAUUUACAAGCGGCAGGUUAGCUUCCAAUAACUUCCUUCGCCACGAAAUUUUUUUUAUUGUGACUGAAAUAUAAGUGAUAUACUAUGUGUUAUAAUAAAAGUAUAAUAAAAGUCAUGAGAUUUUUUUUUUAAAAUUAUUAACUUUUUAGCACUCAUAUCCUACAAUUUGUAUAAUAACACGUGUUGUACCAUCUCGUGUAUCAAUUACACUGAAAAAUCUCUCCUCCGCCACCUCCAUUUUCAAUUAGAUAGAUUUUCUCCCAUCUUCAAGCGCUGCUCACAAAAUUGAAAUCAAGUGCGGCGGUGGCCAUUUCUGUCGCAAUGAUUUCUUAUUGUUAUUAUUAUAUAUAAAUGAACACAAAUUGCAAAUUAAAAAAAACAGAGAAUACUUAAGGUCUAUUUGGUACUCUACUUGAAUUCAACUUUUUAAACUCAAAAAUAAUUUUAAGUUUUAGGCUUUAAAAACUUGUUUGACAUGAUUAUUUUAAAAAACUGAACACUACCUAAAAAAUAUAGUUUAUUCUUUAAAAACAUAAAAGUUAGUUUUUAAAGUUUUUUAACUUAAACUCAUUUAUUUUUUUCCCCUCCUCCUCUCUCUCACUCAAAUCUCUAUUUUCUUCUUUAUCUCUCCUCUUUUUUUUUUCUUUUUUUUUUGACAUUUUUCGUUUCUUCCAAUCCACUCUCUUCAUUCUCUUGGUUCUUUCUCUCACUCACUCCUCUUCCUCUCCAUUUCGUCCAAUCAUUUCUCUUCUUUUUCUUUCCUUUAAUCAUCUUUUACUUUCUUUCCCAUUCUCUCCUCCGACCCUCUUUUUUUAGAUCUCUUUGUUUAUAAGUUGUAGGAUUUAAAAUUUUUAAAUCGCAAACCAAUCAAGUUUUUUGUCUUAAAGAAAAUUGUUUUGAAAAAUGAUAGAAAAUUUCAAAUAGGAUUCCAAACAAACCCUUAGCGAUCUGAGUCUUUACCAUUGUCAGAAUAAUUUAACACUGUCUUUAGUAUGUAACUGGACGUUAACAGCAGAAGCUAAGUUGUUUUAGUUGUACACGUGUCAAAAUUUUAGUGAUGAAUAUCACCACUCAAAACUGCGAGCUGCUGCUACAGUACCACAUAAUAACGUGGGCGUGGUGAAAAUUUUCCAUCACUGAUGACGAUUGUCCCAUCAUUUAAUUAAGUGAUCACUUGAAUAGGUCUGCCCAAUCAAGAUAGUAUUGCACCACUAAUUAAUUAGGAUUCUCUCAUUUCCUCUUUUUAUCUCUUUUCAUCUCUUACUCUCACGAUUUUUAUUUUGUCUUUCUAUUUUUAUAAAAAAUGUAAUAUAAGAUAUUGACGUAAUUUAAAUGUGACUGUUCAGAAAAGAGAAGAGGAAAUGAGAGAAAAAAAAAAGAAAAGAGAAUUCUACUUCCCACGAAUUGGCUCGUCCUAAUCCUAAACCAGAUUUACCACCUUGGUUGGGCCCACCAAACUCUCUCCCCAACCCACCACCAGGAUUAACCUUAAAAAUUUCAGGAUCCUGUGCGGGUGCACCUCUUGCACUCUCUCAGGGUCGGCACUAGCACCAGCUGCUAGCUAGCAGUCCCGAGUGCUGUUACUGAUCCACUAAAAUUUGACACGUGCACAACUAAAAUACGUCAACUUCUGUUGUUAACGCCCAGUUACAAUUACAAACCACCCUACCGGGUUCAAGCAACUCCAUGCGAUUACAAAUAAGAACGAGAGAGUGAAUAUAGGGUUUAGGGUUAAAUUGGUUGCGCACUAGUACUGCUUGGUAUUGAAAAGGAUCAAGAACGAUGAAGUAGUUUCUCAACGAAGGCUGUUUGUUUAAGUAGGAAACAAGAUCAAUAAAAGUUGUGGAGCCCCAAAGGCUCUGAUACCAAACCAAGACAAAAGAACAAAAAGAUUAGAAUUUCGUGAAUUUUAUCUGUGGAUAAUUACACAGGCAGCACCUUUUAAUGCAACAAACACGCAGCACCCAGAUUUACAAGCGGCGGGUUGGCUUCCAAUAACUCCCUCCGCCACCACCAUUUUCAAUUAGAAAGAUUUUCUCCCAUCUUCAAGCUGUUGCUCACAAAAUUGAAAUCAAUUGCGGCGGUGGCCAUGUCUGUCGCAAUGGUUUCUUAUUGUUAAAAUUAUAUAUUAAUGAACACAAAAUGCAGAUAAAAAAAUAGAGAAUACUUAAUGAUCUGAGUCUUGACCAUUACCAGAAUAAUUUGACAUAAUUUUUAGUAUGUAACAGGGCGUUAACAGCAGAAGCUAAUUUGUUUUAGUUGUAUACGUGUCAAACUUUUAGCGAUGAAUAUCACCACUCAAAACUGCGAGCUGCUGCUACAGUAACGCCUAAUACCGCGGACACAUAUAUAGAAACGGCACCAAACUCUAGUUUGUUGCCCGGCGCGGUGAAAAUUUUCCAUCACUGAUGACGAUUGUCCCUUCAUUUAAUUAAGUGAUUGCUUGAAUAUGUCCGUCGAAUCAAGACAUUAUUGCACCACAAAUUGGCUCGUCCUAAUCAGAAACGUGCUCUUAAACUACUAAACAACUAAUAAAUACUCCAUAAGUCAGACAACGUGUAUCCAUUUCCAGUUACAUAGUACAUAAAAGGUCAAGUCGGAUUACAGGUAUCAAUUUAUACCCAAAAAAAUUGAUAAUUAAGCACGUUUUUUUUAGUACAUAAAAGGUCCUCAAUUUAUACCGAAAACCAUAGAUAAUUAAGCACGUUUUUUUUAGUACAUAAAAGGUCAAGUCAGAUUACAGGUAUCAAUUUAUACCGAAAAAAAUUGAUAAUUAAGCACGUUUUUUAAGUACAUAAAAGGUCAAGUCAGAUUACAGGAAUUUAGGAAGCAGAUUGUCUGCCCGGAUGCCAUUUUCAUCCUCUCCUAUUUGUACGAUCACGGUUAAAUUACGUCAACAUUUUAUAUUUUUAUUGUAUUUUGUCUUAUUAUCUCUAUAAAAAAAUUAAUAUAAAAUAUUAACAUAACUUAAUCGUGACCGCACAAAAUAGGAGGGGAUGAGAAGACCAUCCAAACAGAAGGGCAGACAAUCUGCCUCCAUCAAUUUAUACCAAAAAAAAGGGAUAAUUAAGCACGUUUUUGUUCUAUAUGGAUUGAAUAAUUCAUUCCGUAAGUAGCAAGCUUUAGGUGAAAAUGACAUCCAUUGGGCACCCAUUGCGCAACCUUGCAAUGUUUAAAAAGAGAACAAAAUUGUGGGGUUGUGUACUAUAGAAAAUUAGAUUGUCAUCUCUUAAUGAAAGUGUUAUUUCUAUUAAACUCAGAUAUUUGGCGAAAUAUUAAUUUACCAUAAAAAAAUUGAACAUCUCCCUUUACGCAAGAGAAAAGAAAAACUUACAUAACAUAGGUAUCAGAGUAGUAUUAUGCGUCAGUUAAACAAUGAUAUGUAGAAAAAAUUUACACGUAUUAUUACAUCACGUGGAAUGCUAAGGAAACUAAACUUGUAGACCAAAUUUUGUAAACUAACUGACAUAAAAAUAGAUGAUUGGAUUAGUGUUCAAGUAUUGAUUAACAUACUUAUUUUUGUAUUAAUAAUAGUUUGCAAAUUUAGUUUACUUAAUAUAGAGAUGACAGUGUAAUCAUGUGGGUUAAAUUCUUAUCGGGGACAAGGACAUGCAUUCACCUAAUUAUUUUUUCGAGUAGGGUAAUGUUUAAUUAGUUGUGGGAAAGUAGGUAGGAGAGAAAUAAAUACGUGUACAUAAGUAUAUUACUAUAAGUACAUUGUAUAUAUGCACAUACGUACCUACAUAAAUCCAAAAUCAGAAGAUCUUAAGUACAUUUGGAAUAUUUUUUUAUAAAUAAAGUAAAUUUGUGUUUGCAUCCUUUCAUACAAUAUGGGUUUUUUUUCACUAAGCCUGAGCGUAAUUUCCCCUUUCCACCCGAUCCAAAUUCCAAAAUAAGAAAAUGGAAUAUGUUUGAAUUUCUAAGAAAUACAAAUUCUCAUUAAACUUAGACAUAUACAAUCAUCUAACUUGAUGUUCACAGCAUAAACCAUUUGAUUUUUUCCUUAGCGUUUUGUUUUAAUUUUCUAGAUGUAUUGCAAAAAGAUAAGGGAGCCAAGAGCAGAGAGAACUGAUAAUAAAGUUUGUUUCAUGACUCAUUAGUACUUACUGAUCAGUAUAGCUAAACCUAUAUAUAUAUAUAUAUAUAUAUUGAUUGAAACAUUAUGCUAAUUUAGUCAAGAGUCACCUAUAUAGUUAAUGCAUGGUAUACAUAUUAUAAAUUAAAGGGAACUUUAACGAGAAGCUUCCGGUACUGUUCACUUUAACAAAAAACCACAUUUUUACAUUAAAAAGUCAAUCCUGGUACUAUUCACUUUACCUUUUAUUUUGUCCUUAUCAUUAAAACUCAAAAUUUUCAAACCCUUUUCAUUAGUUUUCCUUAAAUUUAAAUAGGCUCAAGCCUGCAACAUGCAUCUGGGAGAGAUUAUCAAUCACUGUUCAAUCUAUCAGCUGCCACCUUAAAUUAUAUGUACAGUGAUUGAUAAUCACUGUUCAAUCUAUCAGCUCAGAGAUCAAUCCACAAAUUAUAUGGGGGUGCAAUAUGCAUUGAAAAUAAACUCCUCUAUUCACUCGCACAUAUAAAUUAUAAAAUAAAGACUGAAAAUAAACACCUGGAUUUUGUUUGGUUCUUAAUCUUAAAACCAAAGCUAAUUUUGAUUUCUAAUAACGACUCACAACUGUGAAUUUAAUUCUUAACGGAUUAUCUAUCUGGGUACUAAUAGUUAACAACAAUGCAUGUGUAUUUUGUAUGGUUGAACUCACUUCCCGGGGGAACUUACAACAGAUAUGCAGGCAAUAUAUAUGGGAUGUUUCUUUUCAGGUUAAUUUUUAUAGAUAACAUAAAAGAUGUAGACACUGAUUCAUCUCCAAUUGACGAUAAGUCAUCAGUUCGAUCUAUUUACUCAUCGAAAAACUGGCAAAUGUAUAUAUGUUUUCUGACCAACAGAGAGAUAAUAAAUUUAAAUUUGAGACUUCUCAUAUCACAAGAUUAAGAGCUAGUUAUUAAUUACUUUUCCAAAUUGGUAAAAUCUCCAGGGAAAAGUUACUAUAUAUGUGUACUGCUUCAGGUAUCAGUAGUAAAAUAACGACAUGCAUGAAAGGCGUAAAUUAACGACGUCGGUCUUGCAGAAAACUUCAGAUAGAAGCAUUCGCCGAAAAACUCCCACUUAUUUGGACCAAGUAAAGGGAACAACACAUUAAUUACACAACUAUGCCCUAGUUUUUUAAUAAUUGAUAUCAAGGUUUUUCUCCCUCAAUAUUUGCAGUUUUUGCCCACACGUUUUAGCCUAUAUAAACACCCAUAACUUUGUGGUGUAUAUACACUUGAGCUCAUUAAUAAGAAAUAAGAAAUGGCAUCACUAUCGCAGCUCCCAGCAGGCUCUGGAAGCUCUAAUUCGCUACUCAGCGUCAUAGAGACCGCCAAAGAGCCCUUAACUUCAGUCCCACAAUGUUACGUUCGUUUGCAACAAGAACCAACUCCAUCUGAACUCUCUGAUGAUAAUAAGGGCACCUUCCGUUCUAUCCCUACCAUUGACAUGACUAAAUUAGUUAAGGGAGAAACCUCAGACUUUGCAAAUCAACUGGAGAAACUGCACUCAGCUUGCAAAGAUUUGGGCAUUUUUCAGGUCUAAUAUUGAUCUUUCAAAUUUCUUGGACUUAAAUACUUUUUCUUAACAUAGACACUAGUACUCCACUUAAAUAUUAUAUAUCUCCUCAUCAAGACAAGCUAUAGUAGGUUUUCAUGAAUUUAAUAUCCGAUGAACUAAUAAAAUGGAAUUAAGAUUUCAUAGUUAUCAUAGCUAGUUAGAUAUAUUGUCUUGUUUUAUAGGGCUUUAAUUAUUUUUCUUUCUAUUUCUAAUUUCUAGAUUAAUUUUUUGUUAUUGUGCAAACGAAUUUUAAUUUAUUAUAUAUAUGUCUACAUAAUUUAUCAAACUAAAGUUGGAGAAAACUCAUAACCUUGAUGUUGUCCUGUUUUUUUUUUUUUUUUCUUGCAGUUGGUGAACCAUGGAGUUAACCCUAUGCUGUUAGAGAAUCUGGAACAUGAGAUUGAAGUAUUCUUUAAGCUUCCCUUGGAAGAGAAAAUGAAAUAUGCAAUAAGGUCAGGUGAUGUUGAAGGCUAUGGAAACAUAGCCAAGACCAAAGACCAAAAGCUUGACUGGGGUGAUAGGUUCUAUAUGAUAACCAACCCUAUUCAUCGAAGAAAGCCGUACCUCUUCGCAGAGCUCCCUUCAUCCAUCAGGUCCUCUCUCUCAUAAAUCUUAAGAGCCCAUUUGAUAACAAAAUGAAACAAAAGCUGAAAACUUAAAUGAAGAUGAUUAUGAAAUGGCACCUAAACUUGUAUACAAUUGUUCUCUUACACAUUCAAACACACAUGCACCCAGUUUUUCUAAAUUUUUAUUGAAUUUGACAUGUUUUCUUGGUAUAUGCUAGGAAUACCUUGGAGUCAUACUUUAUGGAAUUGGACCAACUUGCCAUGAGACUUCUUGGGUUUAUGGUGAAAGCUCUGAAGACAGAUAUGAGAGAGAUAGAGGAGUUGUUUGAUACAGACGGGAUGCAAUCAGUGAGGAUGACAUACUAUCCUCCAUGUCCACAACCAGAGCUGGUUGUAGGGCUCUCACCUCACUCAGAUGUAUGUGGGAUCACCAUCCUCAACCAGCUUAAUGGAGUUGACGGUCUCCAAAUUAAAAAAGACGGGGCUUGGAUGCCUGUCAACUUCCAAAAAGAUGCCUUUGUGGUGAAUGUCGGGGACAUUUUUGAGGUUUGUCCUGUAUAUACUUCUUUCCUCGCACUUCUUUUCUGGGCUAUAUUCGACCAUAAAGUAGAAAAAAAAAAGAUAAUAAAUGAAAGAGAAAAAGACUACUAGGUUAGCAAACGUGGGAUUUCGAAUCUCUAUAUAUUAGUAUGUGGGAAUAUUUGAAAUGAAAUUGUUCAGUACUGUACAAGCACUAGGUGCGGACAAUAAUUAACUGUCGCAUUUGAUUUCAAUGAUUUAACUGAAGAAUGAUUGUUAGACCAAAUUUAACGAUUAAAUAGGUGACACUAAAUAUAUAAAUAAUAAACAACAUUAGUAAAAUUGAGGCAUAAAUUAGAAAAUUAAUACUAAUUUAUUCCUCACUAUUAGUGUGCGGGACAGGCAACUAAUACUACUUAAGUGAAACGGUGCGUAUUGCUUUGUCAGUAUUAUUGGAUUGGGCUGUAGGAUGAACAAACAACGCUGUAGAAAAUUGGUUAAUGUAAGAAGAAUGAACAAACAACGCUGUGGAAAAUUGGUUAGUAUUAAGAAAAAUGCUAAGUAGAUUAUGUUUUUAGAUCAUAUUUUGUGGAUCACAUGAUGUGACGGUUGAUAAUUAGAUUUAUUCUUCCACAUCAUGUGAUCUACAAAAUAUAGUUUAAGUAAACGAUCUUUCUAGUAUCACUUAAAUGUUAAUGGGUUGAGACUGUUGAGUUCGAUCAUUUAACAAUAAAUUAAAAACUUGAAUCUAUCAUAUUAGUACAACACUUGGCUUCACAUCACAGCUUGAGUCCUUGUUCUUGCAAUGAUAACGAGUAAUCGUUUCACAUUGUCACUGGAGAAGGAAUGAUCUUUUAUAUGUAAAGAGUCAAAUCAAUUCAUUCAUUUUAUUAUAUGUGUAUUUAUAUGGUAAUACUAUACCUUAGAUCAUGGCAUAUAUGGGGACAUACCAAUAUUAAGGAAAUUUUAUAUUACAUUUGCAGAUGCUGAGCAACGGAGUUUACAAAAGCAUUGAACACAGGGCAAUGGUGAAUUCAGAGAAAGAAAGGGUGUCGGUUGCGAUGUUCUUCAGCCCUAAAUUUGAGGCAGAGAUUGGGCCACUCAGAAGCUUGAUAACCCCAGAAAACCCACCACUGUUCCAAGGGGUUGGGAUGGAAAAGUACGUCAACGAUUUCUUCUCCCGCCUUAGGCUUGACGGGAAAUCGUACUUGGAGCAAAUGAAAAUCUAAAAUGCUUGAUUAAGGACUGAUCGAUCGCUUAUUCGAUCAAUGAGCCGUUAAUCAGGAUAUAUAGUACUAUAUGGUGUGACAAUAAUUAAAGUUGUGCAUAUAUAUAUACUGUAUAUGCAUAUGCUUUUCCAAAUGUGUGGAUUCUGGAAACUGGGAAUGAAUCAAUAUAUACUGUAUAUGCAUAUGCUUUUCCAAAUGUGUGGAUUCUGGAAACUGGGAAUGAAUUAUACUCCUAUGAAAUAAGGCGUUCCUUGUAUAUAGCAGCAAGAAAGCCAGCUUCUAUUUGGUAUGUUGUGUAUCCUAUAUAGUAAAGUGAGAAAGGAAAUAAAAUGUGUGGUUGUUUUAAUAAAGUGAUGAUUAUUGUGUUAUAUAUCGUUUUAUAUCUUAUAAAAUUCCCUGAUUAUUUAUACACAGUUAUGUCUUACAAAACGAAAUAAUUCUUGAAGAAGUUUUUGAAUUCCAACUUGACAUGAAUCAUGUUUUCGAUCGUGUUAGGGUGAGUUUGGUACGAUUUCAUAAGAGUGUUCUUAGUUUGUGUUGAUGCACAAAAUCAGUGAAGAUUUUGGUACAACAGAAAGUGUUAAGUUUGUGACAUUCGCUAGAUUGCUCCGGUCACUAGUGUGGAUAAGUAUGUAAAUGAAUGGAGAUAGGGAAACAAACACAAGAUGUACGUGGUUCACCCAGAUUGGCUAUGUCCACGGAGUAGAGGAGUUCUCAUUAGGGUUUACACAAAUACAUAGGUUCAAGCUCUCCUUUUGUGAGUACUAGUGAAUAAUUUAGUACAAAUGACAUUAGGGAUUAUUGUGGAAGAAUGAUCUCCUUUUAUAAAAGAGAGUUUCUAGCUUUGUUCUGGCCUUGACACAUGUCAUGCUGUGAUUGACCUUUGAUGUUGACACGUGUCGCUUUGUGAUUGGCCCAUUGAUAUUGAAACGCGUUGCACUGUGAUUGGCCUUUUGGUUGGAGGAAAACUCUUCUGGGUCCUUGACGGUAUAACGUUGACCGGUGCUUGGUAGUUUCGAGAUUGGUCAAGUAUGGUACAAAUAAUGCUCCCCUAAGUAGAUGUGGCAUCUUCUGGGUCCUUGUGGUAUCGUUUUCACUUGCCUUAUCUGUCUCAUAAGUAGAUGUGGCAUCUUCUCUGGAAAUACUUUUCCUCCAUCCAGGGAUGGUAUCUUUAAACGAUGGAGAUGCACAAGGUAAUGUAAUGUAUCAAUUUCACUUGAAGCUUACUUGUAGUUUCGGGCUUGGUCAAGCGCGAUACAAACCCUAUAGUAGUAGUCUUCCAAGUCUCUGAGCGAGGAGAUCUGUCGAAAGAGGUGACAUACAAAGUAAGCAAUCAGAGUUUCAACAGUCAGUCUUAGAUCGAAAGUUUGAUCUCGUGUUCCAGUUGAUUGUUCUCCUUCUCCUUGUUCUGUAGACAUCAACAAGGACAAAGAAAAGGAUAUAGAGAAGAGAUGAUAUGAGAUAUUUUUGCUUUUGAAGAAGUAACUUUCCACAGGCUUAUUCUUGAACUGGGCUGAAGGGUUUUCUAGUUUCCUCCAGAGUAUAAUGCUGACUCAAGAAUUUGAAGGUCAAAACAAGUCUAUCAAAUCAAGAGUGUGUUCGACCUUGAUGAUAUGGGAUAUUUUUUUUGUUGACAAAGUAAUAGAUGAAUCGGCACGUGUUAUAUUGCGCUUGUCUCCACAUGCUUCCUUGUAUUCUUCUCACUUGCCCUAUCUGUUCCUCAUGCAGAUGUGGUAUCUUUUCUAAAAGCAUAAGAUGUUAAAGAUAAAUACUCGAGAGCAAUGCCAGGUAAGUAAUUAGGCAAGGAGUUCCUAACUGGAAGCUUGAUUCCAAGUGCUGAUUGAUUGCUCUCUUUCUCUUUGUCUUACAGGUAAGAACAAUGGCAAAGGAAAAGACAGGGAAAAACAUGAUAUGGGAUACUCUUGCUUUUAACCUUGAUGAUAUGAGAUGUUCUUGCUCUGGUGUGGCUUGUUUGCAGAGGUAUUAUUGGGGGGAAAAGAAGUUGAGUAUUUUGAGAGACUAUGCUAAGAGUGCCCUUUCGGAUGUGAAGAAAAGUUGAGCAUUUUUUUUAUUUGCAGGUCUGCCUGGCUAUAGAGGAUGAAUGUCGACAUAUAUAAGAAUUGUCCUAACAGCCUGUAGUAACGUUGUUCCUUUACCCUUCUCGAUCAUAGCAAUAUAGUGGGAGCUGCAAGAUUCACAUGUUUUAACUUUGUCAGAGCACUUUGAAAAAGUGGUCUGUGGUAUCUAAAAAACUGAUGUUGCGUGUGAAGAUUUCAUACAAGCUUUAUCCAAGGAAAUCUAGCUCUCGAAGUUUGGAGAGCGGUGCCUCUUCGAUUUUCGAACAAGCAAUCUUGUCGGGGAUCUGGCUCUCGAGAUUCGGAGAACAGUGCCUUUUCAAUUUUUGAGAAAGCAAUCAUGUUGGGAGUCUGGCUUUCGAGAUUCGGAGAGCAGUGCCUCUUCGAUUUUUGAGAAAGCAAUCCUGUUGGGAGUCUUGACUUUCGAGAUUUGGAGAGCGAUGCUUCUUAGAUUUUUUAGAAAGUAAUCAUGUUGGGAGUCUGGUUCUCGAGAUUCGAAGAGCGAUGCCUCUUCCAUUUUUGAGCAAGUAAUCCUGUUGGGAGUCUGGCUCUCGAGAUUCAGAGAGCGGUGCUUCUUCGAUUUUUGAGCAAGUAAUCCUAUUGGGAGUGUUUUCUCGAAUGUGAGUAAAUGUUGGGCAUUUUUGCCAGUCUGCUUUGCCACUGAUCACGAAGGUUGACACACAUAGGGACUUUCCAGUUAUUAAGCAGUGAUGCUGUUCCUUUACCCACGUGGGUAAUAGUAGGGUAGUUGGACCUUCAAAAUUUAUGUGCCUAAAUUUUGUCAGAGAUCUUUGGCAAAGUUAUUUGUGGUACCUGAGAAGCUGAUGUUACGUGUGGAGAUUGUCGACAAAUUUUACUCAGGAAAAUCUAUUUCUCGAAGUCCGAAGAGUGGUGCCUCUUCGAUUUUUGAACUAACGGUCAUGUUGCCCUUUCUUUUAUAGGGCACCAAUUGUGUGCAAGAAGUACGUUCAGAGAGUUAUUGCUUGUAGGAAUUUUCCCCUUAUUUUUAUAAUUCACAGAUUUAUUGGACUUCAUUUCUCCUUCAUCAUUUCUGAAAAUGUCUGGCCCAUCUGAUCGUCGUUUUGACUUGAACUUUGAUGAAGAGGCAGUCAUGCCUCCUCAAGACAACAUAUGACGCCCAUCCUUCUUAUCCCUUACUGGUCAUCUUACCGUUGAGGACUCUGUAAUGAAGAAUGAUAUGAUUGUUGCGGUGGUGGCUAGGAACCUUCUCAUUCCCAAAGAUAACAGACUACUUUCAAAACGGUCUGAUGAGUUGGCUGUUAAGGAUUCUCUUGCUCUCAGUGUUUAUUGUGCAGGUUCUAUGUCUAAUAUGACCUAACGCUUAUUUGCUCGAACCCGUCAAGUUGAAUCAUUGGCGGCUGAAGUGAUAAUUCUCAAACAGGAGAUCAGAUGGCUCAAGCAUGAGAAUAAACAGUUGCAUAGGCUAGCACAUAACUAUGCUACAAACAUGAAGAUGAAGCUUGACCAGCUGCAGGAAUCUGAUGGUCAGAUUUUACUUAAUCAUCAGAGGUUUGUGGGUUUGUUCUAAAGGCAUUUAUUGCCUUCAUCUUCUGGGGCUGUACUGCAUAAUGAAGCUCCAAAUGAUCAACCUUCGGUGCCUCCUCCUUCUGGGGUUCUGCCUAGUACUGAGACUCCUAAUGAUCACCCUCCGGUGCCUCAUCUUUCUGGGGCUCUGCCGACUGCGGAGACUUCUCCUGAGCAACCUUUGUGAAGGCUCUAUCUUGUUUGUUUAUUUUGAUUCAUGUUUAUGUACAUAUUUGUAACUUAUCGGAGGUAUCAAUAAAUAAGCUUUACUUCAUUUCAACGUAUUGUGUUAAAUAUACCAAGGUCUCCCUCACUAAGUUCUUUGAUUUUUUUUCUUUUGUUGAAGCUUGUAUGUUGAAACUUUAUGAGUGAAGUAUGUAGGUUGAGGUAAUGCUCCCUUAAUUUCCCGAGUAAGGAAAACUUUUCGGUUGGAAACUUGAAAAAUUCAAGUCACUGAGUAGUCGUGAAACUUCCAAAUACCGAGGUGUAGUAGCAUAUGGUAGAAGUCCCCCACGUCUUCGGUCAAGGGAGUUGAUAAAGGAUGUGUCUUGCUAGUAGUCAAGUUUCCAAAGUAAUAAAAUUUCACCAUUUUCCUUUCUAAGUGGUAGCCCAAAACUCCUCAUUCAUAUAUAUUUGUUAUGAAAGUUGUUAGGCCUAAAGAAGAUGAGGCCUAGGCCUUUAUAGGUGAAGCUUUGUAGGUGAAACUUUGGUGUUAAAGCUUUGUAGGUGAAGAUUUAAGGUUGAAGUUUUGUUGGGUACCAUGAAUUGAUUUUGCUUCACACUAUCUUGAUCAAGAAUGUGAAGCUUUUGGCAUUUGUAGUUGAAGCUUUGUAGGUCAAGCUUUUGUGUUGAAGCUUUGUAGGUGAAGCUUUGUAGGUGAAGCUUUGAAGUUGAAGCUUUUGUAGGUGAAGCUUUUGUAGGUGAAGAUUUUGUAGGUGAAGCUUUGUAGGUGAAGAUUUUGUAGGUGAAGCUUUGUAGGUGAAGCUUUGGAGUUGAAGCUUUUGUAGGUGAAGCUUUGAAGUUGAAGUUUUUGUAGGUGAAGCUUUGGAGUUGAAACUUUGUAGGUGAAGCUUUGGAGUUGAAGUUUUGUAGGUGAAGCUUUGGAGUUGAAGUUUUGUAGGUGAAGCUUUGGUGUUGAAGUUUUGUAGGUGAAGCUUUUGUGUUGAAACUUUUGUAGGUGAAGUUUUGGAGGUGAAGCUUUGUAGGUGAAGCUUUUGUGUUGAAGCUUUGUAGGUGAAGCUUUGUAUGUAAAGCUUUGGAGUUGAAGCUUUUGUAGGUGAAACUUUUGUAGGUGAAGCUUUGGAGUUGAAGUUUUUGUAGGUGAAGCUUUUGUAGGUGAAACUUUUGUAGGUGAAACUUUGUAGGUGAAGCUUUGGAGUUGAAGCUUUUGUAGGUGAAGCUUUGGAGUUGAAGCUUUUGUUGGGUACCAUGAAUUGAUUUUGCCUCACACUAUCUUGAUUAAAAGUGUGUGAAGCUUUUGAGAAUUGUAGUUGCCCUCCAUUUGUUGAAGCUUUUGUAGUAAAGAUUUUGUAGGUGAAGCUUUGAGGUUGAAACUUUGUUGGGUACUAUGAAUUGAUUUUGUUUCACACUAUCUUGAUAAAAAAUGUGUGAAGUUUUUUAGAAUUGUAGUUGCCCUCCAUUUGUUGAAGCUGUUGUGGUGAAGUUUUGGUGUUGAAGCUUUAUAGGUAAAGCUUUGAGGUUGAAGCUUUGUUGGGUACCAUGAAUUGAUUUUGCUUCACACUAUCUUGAUCAAGAGUGUGUGAAACUUUUAAGAAUUGUAGUUGCCCUCCAUUUGUUGAAGUUGUUGAAUUUCCCAAUUUCCCAAUUUGAAGCUUCAAUUGUAGUUGCCCUCCAAUUGUUGAAGUUAUUGAAAAUGUGGGAAAGACAACAUAUACAAAUUUUGCUUCCACACUAUUGAGCAAAAGAUUGUGCUGUAAAUCACACCUUAUAGUAGUCGAAGGUUUGGAUGAACCAUAUAAAUUGAAUUUGCUUCGAACAGUUGUGAUCAAGAGUGUAUGAAGCUUUCUACGAGUUGUAGUGUUUGUAUUGUUGCAGAGGAAAAAUCUCUGAAGCAGAUGUAAGAGGGCUGAAGAGCUUAAUCUUCGUAUACCAUGCACUGAAGCCGUUGUUGGCUUGUAAUAAGACUUUGUUGGUGACUAUAACUCUUGUUAGGCAUAAGUGUUCCCCUAGUUGAGUUGUAAAGUUUAAGGGUUUUUUUAUUAUUUGUGAAUGCUAAGAGUUCACAUGUACAAGUUGUACCACUCGUCUUCUGGUUGGUGGAAUGAAUGGUGAGUUGCUUUCAUCACUUGGUUGGUGGUAUGAAUGUGAGAUCCUUCAUCACCUUUCAUCACAUUUCAUCACCUGGUUGGUGGCACGAAGAUGAGUUCCUUCUUCACCUGGUUGGUGGCACGAAGAUGAGUUCUUUCUUCACCUGGUUGGUGGCAUGAGUGGCAAGUUCCCAAAUGAUAUUAGAGUACGGGUUGUACAUUUCAUCACCUGGUUGGUGACAUGAAGGAAAGUAUGGGUUGUACAUUUCAUCACCUGAUUAGUGGCAUGAAGAUAAGUUCAUUCCUCACCUGGUUAGUGGCAUGAGUGGCAAGCUGCCAAAUGAUAUUAGAAUACGAGUUGUACAUUUCAUCACCUGGUUGGUGGCAUGAAUGAGAGUACGGGUUGUACAUUUCAUCACCUGGUUGGUGGCAUAAAGAUGAGUUCAUUCUUUACAUUUCAUCACUUGGUUGGUGAGAAUAAGGGCAAGGUGUCGAGGCACAUUGUAGCAAGUGUUGAAUGACACAAAGUAUGUUGAACCCUUUCGAAGCACAGUUGCCUUAUGUGUGGAUGUGUUGGAAUGUAUGAUGUUUAUGUAUGAAUGUGUUAGAAUGUAUGAUGUUUAUGUUGAUUGACAUGAGUGAUGCUUAUGAAUGUUUUGUUAUGCAUGAAGGGAUCCAUGCUUUCGAUAUGUGAACCAUGUUGGUUGUAACACUUAAUAUCAUAUACUUUAUGUCAAAGUACGCAUGUUGAAGCUCUGAAUUGGGGUAUAGGGGUAGGUCAGUGUAGACCAAGUGUUCCAGUGCUAGGAAUGCAAAAGACUCAGAAGAAGUUGUCUGAAUUUCUUCUUCUUUAAAUAUUUGUCGAAUGACUUGUGUGACAAAAGAUCUCAAGCGGUUGAGAGUCAAAACAUUUGUAAUAUGUAUGCCUUCUUAUAAUAUCAUUUCCUUUAGUACCUAGUCCUCCACUUUGAAAGAGUGAAGCUUGGCCUCAUAGUCAUAAUAGUUGAUAAUACGUUCACCCUUGAUUGUCUUGAUACGAACUUUUAUCCCGCUUGUUGUAAUGGGCUUGCUGAGAGUAAAAAUCAUUCCUAUUACCAAGAGUCAAAUACAUUUGGUGACUUAGCGAGUAGCUAAAUGAGGCAGAAGAUGAUGCAGUGGGUGUCUGAAUGGCCAAUAUCUCCUCACUUAGUAGAACUUGACUUCCACUUCCCACUUGUUGAUAGGGGUUAACCAUAUGAGGGUUCCCUUAGUAUGUCCUUACUUCGUCGAAUGCGUGGUUAUAAGCAUGUGCCAUCACCUCAGAGUAAGUCUUCCAAGUGUUGGCAUUUAUCAUGUGCUUGAAGAAACAAUCACGUAGGCCUGCCGUGAAGGCUUUGAGUGCGGUCUUGUCAUUUGCCUCAGCGCAGCGAGAAUACUCAUGGCUGAAUCGACCGGCAUACUAUCGUAGUGACUCGUAUGGCUUCUGGUGAAUAAUGUACAAGUCAUCUGCAGAAUGUAAGUGAUCGGUCUGGAAGAUGUGUCUCGGGUGGAAAACGAUAAUACCAGUUUAGAGCUCCGCCAGAGAGGGUGGAAGGGAAGAGAAGACAUCGGUUUUCGUCGGUGUGCAUCUGAUAUGCCAUGGUGGACUCAAAGAGGUUAAGGUGUUCAAUCGGGUCCUCUAUUCCAGUAUAGAGUUGUAAACCAAGCUUUUGUUUUAUCUUCGCUUAAAGGGGGUGUCGAGGAUCCUCCUUGUGAGAGGGCCAGGCCUGGGUUGGUUCCAGUCAGGUAUCUCGACCUGAUGUUCGGCCUCAACUUGUUUACUUCCUCAAGGAGUUGUAGGAUAAAUGGGUCCUGAGUGAAGUCAUGUACCACUGGAAUUUUCUUCCGUAAGUCUCCAUCGUCUCUCGGAAGUAGGAAAGUUUGAGCAAGAGAAUGUGAUUUUUCCUUGGACUCGCCGUACUGACUUCUAGGGCGAAUCUGUCGGAAUACCUCCAAGCCCCAUGUACCUUCAUAUUCCUCUAGGACUUGUCGUUCCUUCCUUAGAUGGGCAGCUGGCCUGGGUUGUGAGAGGGAACUGAGUUUUUCAGAAACCCUUGGAUAAUUGAUCUUCGAGCUUAUAUGGAAGGGAUUCUCUUGACGUUGCUUUAGAAAGUCUCGGCAGUUACGAUAAAGGGCUUUCGAUCCUUCCAACCCUUCUGCAAGGAGGAUCUUCCUCAACUUUUCCUGCUUCGGGUCGAAGCAGUUGGGUUGAGAGAAGUCUCAUGUUGAUCAAUGUUUUGAUGAUUAGCUCGCUUCUCAUCAGGGAUACCUAUGUCGAAGGAAGGUGACCCUUCGUGUUAAGGGCACCCAAAUGAUGGUUGAUGUCCACAGGGGCAACAAGCUUGCGUGUUUGAGUACGCCUAGUUUCGUGGAACGUUUCGAAGAGCUUUUCAUAUUGUUCUUGGAGGAACUCAUUCUUUAUUGCUAUCUUGUUGUUUUAAGCCUUCAGCUUAUCGACUUUAGCUUGAAGAACGAGCUUAUUUCAUUCCUUCUUUCGUUGCUUCGCACUAGGUGCAAGAUGAGUAUCAUAUUGUGUGCCGUGGCUUCCUCUGCUCCCCAUGUUGGAGAGGGAUGCCUGGUCAAAAGAGAGUGUACGAAUGAUGGAAACCAGCUUGACAAAGCUGAAGAGAGUAGGAAUAACUGUCGUUCCCACAGAUGGCGCCAAAUGUUGAUGCACAAAAUCAGUGAGGACUUUGGUACAACAGAAAGUGUUAAGUUUGUGACAUUCGCUAGAUUUCUCCGGUCACUAAUGUGGAGAAGUAUGUAAAUGGAUAGAGACAGGAAAGCAAACAGAAGAUGUACGUGGUUUACCCAGAUUGGCUACGUCCAUGGAGUAGAGGAGUUCUCAUUAGGGUUUACACAAGUACAUAGGUUUAAGCUCUCAUUUUGUGAGUACUAGUGAAUGAUUUAGUACAAAUGACAUUAGGGAUUAUUGUGGGAGAAUGAUCUCCUUUUAUAUAAGAGAGUUUCUAGCUUUGUUCUGGCCUUGACAUGUGUCAUGCUGUGAUUGGCCUUUGAUGUUGACACGUGUCGCCCUGUGAUUGGUCCCUUGGUGUUGAAACGUGUUGCUUUGUGAUUGGCCUCCUGAUUGGAGGGAAACUCUUCUGGGUCUUUGACGGUAUAACGUUAACCGGUGCUUGGUAGUUUUGGGAUUGAUCAAGUAUGGUACAAACAGUUUGUUAUUCUCACCUGCAUAAUUUCUCAUCCACCUGUAAAUAAAAAUAUUAAUGUCAAUUCAUGCUGUUGAGAGUAUCCCCUUUUGUGGGUUACAUCUAUAUAUGUCCAAGUUUAUAUUGCAUGGCCUUAUUUUUUUACAGCGCCAAGGGAGAUGCCAAAGUUGCCAACUUGUUUCGAAGAAACAGAAGAAUGAAAGAGCUAAAAAAACAAAUCCACAACUCCUGGGAAAACCAGAGGUGAAUAUUCGACGUCGUUGCAAACUUGCAAUAUUCAGUUUCUUUAUUGUAUUUUUGUACAAUAUCCAACAUCAUGUGCAAUAUCCGCUAACCCUAUCUUGGCAAUGUGUUCAAUGAGUGUUUUCUGCACACCUGGGUUUGAAAUUUCAUCAUGUUUGAUAUGGUGCUAGUAUUUCUAUUUAUACAGGUACAGGUAAUUAGUGCAGUAUAUAUCUUCUCAGGGAUAAAUUUCUUAUCAAAUGUCUGAACUAGGGUUGUACAGAAUCAUGAGCUUGUAGACAGUUAAUUUUCAGAUUUAUUUUCCUUGCAAGUUGAGUGUGUGAUUUGAGUUGGCAGUGUGAAUCCCACAUCGGAGAUUUAAAGAAAUUUGCAUGUGCUUAUAAGGGGUGGGUUAGUUCUCCUAUUGCCAAUUAGUUUGACGAUGAAACUUCUACUUCUCGUACAUUAUCUGAUGUUAUCCACAUGCGCUCACAUCACCACGUCACCCAAUAUGGUUGUGCACGUUUUAGGCUUAAAUAUGACAAAAUAUGAUUCUUAUACGUAACCUACAAAAAGGAAGAUUUAAACAUGAGAGCUCAAGUGCAUAAGCGUAUGCUCUUAAGUCACCAAUUGAGCUACAAGGCACGUGCAACCUGCAACAUCUAAUUCACUUUUAAAAUUGAAAUGGUUGAUGUGUGGGAUUAAAUUAUUCUAUCAACUUCAAAAUUGCCCCCAUUCCAUGAUGCCACUUGUUUUUCUUAUAAAUAACACAACACAUGGAAUGCAUAUUGAACAUUGGUGAGAAGUAAGAUUAAAAUCAUAUCAAAGAUCGAUCCGCGCCAGCAAAUACAUGCGCUACGGCUACAUGCAUCAAGAAGUGAACAAUUAUAACUUGCGUGAACAGCCCGAAGAGAGCAAACGUUAGACAGAAGUUACUCUGCAUGCGAGUAUAGAAUGCUGUUGCAGUUUGGAAAGCACCGAGGACUACCAAAGAACAGUACUAUACACAUC
RNAcentral lists this long non-coding RNA (25031 nucleotides) under Malus domestica (apple). RNAcentral's name for it is "long non-coding RNA (MDOM_LNC005340)". Lineage: Eukaryota; Viridiplantae; Streptophyta; Magnoliopsida; Rosales; Rosaceae. The record is from RNAcentral.